This 253-nucleotide ribosomal RNA is filed under the name uncultured bacterium. RNAcentral's name for it is "partial 16S ribosomal RNA". It matches the Rfam family "Bacterial small subunit ribosomal RNA", at positions 524 to 776 of the family's 1533-position model. The record is from RNAcentral.
UACGUAGGUGGCAAGCGUUGUCCGGAUUUACUGGGCGUAAAGAGCGCGCAGGCGGUCGUUCAAGUCGCGUGUGAAAGCCCCCGGCUCAACUGGGGAGGGUCACGCGAUACUGAUCGACUCGAAGGCAGGAGAGGGUAGUGGAAUUCCCGGUGUAGUGGUGAAAUGCGUAGAUAUCAGGAGGAACACCGGUGGUGUAGACGGCUUUCUGGACCGUAACUGACGCUGAGACACGAAAGCGUGGGUAGCAAACAGG